RNAcentral lists this ribosomal RNA (465 nucleotides) under uncultured bacterium. Its description in RNAcentral is "partial 16S ribosomal RNA". It matches the Rfam family "Bacterial small subunit ribosomal RNA", at positions 338 to 795 of the family's 1533-position model. The record is from RNAcentral.
CCUACGGGGGGCAGCAGUAGGGAAUCUUCCACAAUGGGCGCAAGCCUGAUGGAGCAACACCGCGUGAGUGAAGAAGGGUUUCGGCUCGUAAAGCUCUGUUGUUGGAGAAGAACGUGCGUGAGAGUAACUGUUCACGCAGUGACGGUAUCCAACCAGCAAGUCACGGCUAACUACGUGCCAGCAGCCGCGGUAAGUCGGCGGUGGCAAGCAUUAUCCGGAUUUAUUGGGCGGAAAGCGCGCGCAGGCGGUUGCUUAGGUCUGAUGUGAAAGGCGUCGGCUUAACCGAAGAAGUGCAUCGGAAAUCGGGCGAGUUGAGUGCAGAAGAGGACAGUGGAACUCCAUGUGUAGCGGUGGAAUGCGUAGAUAUAUGGAAGAACACCAGUGGCGAAGGCGGCUGUCUGGUCUGCAACUGACGCUGAGGCUCGAAAGCAUGGGUAGCGAAACGGAUUAGAUACCCGUGUAGUC